UACGAAGGGGGCUAGCGUUGUUCGGAGUUACUGGGCGUAAAGGGCGCGUAGGCGGCCCUCCAAGUCGGGCGUGAAAGCCCACGGCUCAACCGUGGAAUUGCGCUCGAGACUGAAGGGCUCGAGGACGGGAGAGGAUGGUGGAAUUCCCAGUGUAGAGGUGAAACUCGUAGAUAUUGGGAAGAACACCGGUGGCGAAGGCGGCCAUCUGGACCGUAUCUGACGCUGAGGAGCGAAAGCGUGGGGAGCGAACAGG
This 253-nucleotide ribosomal RNA is filed under the name uncultured bacterium. Its description in RNAcentral is "partial 16S ribosomal RNA". It matches the Rfam family "Bacterial small subunit ribosomal RNA", at positions 524 to 776 of the family's 1533-position model. The record is from RNAcentral.